This 112-nucleotide transfer RNA is filed under the name Promethearchaeota archaeon. RNAcentral's name for it is "Candidatus Lokiarchaeota archaeon (anaerobic digester metagenome) tRNA-Phe". It matches the Rfam family "tRNA". From Rfam's summary of the family: Transfer RNA (tRNA) molecules are approximately 80 nucleotides in length. Their secondary structure includes four short double-helical elements and three loops (D, anti-codon, and T loops). Lineage: Archaea; Promethearchaeati; Promethearchaeota. The record is from RNAcentral.
GCCGAGGUAGCUUAGCCCGGGUUUCUCCUCGCUGUUAAUUGCGAGGAGAAAGGGAAAGAGCGCCAGACUGAAGAUCUGGUUGCCGGGAGUUCAAGUCUCCCCCUCGGCACCA